Molecule: ribosomal RNA, 627 nt
Filed under: uncultured fungus
Lineage: Eukaryota; Fungi
Description: eukaryotic LSU rRNA
Rfam family: 5.8S ribosomal RNA (bases 232-385)
Source: RNAcentral
CUUGGUCAUUUAGAGGAAGUAAAAGUCGUAACAAGGUUUCCGUAGGUGAACCUGCGGAAGGAUCAUUAUUGAAAUGAACCUGAUGGGUUGUUUCUGGUUCUCUAGGGAGCAUGUGCACACCUUGUCAUCUUUAUAUCUCCACCUGUGCACUUUUUGUAGACCUUUCAGGUCUAUGUUGCUUCAUUUACCCCAAUGUAUGUUAAUAGGAUGUUGUGCCUAUAUAAUAUAUACAACUUUCAGCAACGGAUCUCUUGGCUCUCGCAUCGAUGAAGAACGCAGCGAAAUGCGAUAAGUAAUGUGAAUUGCAGAAUUCAGUGAAUCAUCGAAUCUUUGAACGCACCUUGCGCUCCUUGGUAUUCCGAGGAGCAUGCCUGUUUGAGUGUCAUUAAUAUAUCAACCUUCUCUUUUUUGAGUUGUUUGGAUGUGGGGGUUUGCUGGCCUCUUAAAUGAUUCAGCUCCCCUGAAAUGCAUUAGCAGAACAACCUGUUCAUUGGCGUGAUAAUUAUCUAUGCUAUUGAAUGUGAGGGCAGUUCAGCUUUCUAACCGUCCUCGGACAAUUCAUCAUUAAUGUGACCUCAAAUCAGGUAGGACUACCCGCUGAACUUAAGCAUAUCAAUAAGCGGAGGA